This 243-nucleotide long non-coding RNA is filed under the name Lathyrus oleraceus (garden pea). RNAcentral's name for it is "Pisum sativum (pea) long non-coding RNA (PSAT_LNC016299)". The record is from RNAcentral. Lineage: Eukaryota; Viridiplantae; Streptophyta; Magnoliopsida; Fabales; Fabaceae.
UGUUGACCAUAAUUUUUCCAUUGGAAUUUUGAUUGACCGGCAGUAAAUAGUGGUUGUAUAAUUAGGUAGACGAAAACCAACAUAAUAUAUAGGUAGGAAUGAGAAACAAGAUAUGGUAAAAUGACACUAAAAUGCAAAAUUAAAAAAUAAAAGAAUGAGGUAGAUAGGAAAAGAUUAUAUAAUUCGUCUGGUGGAAUUAAAAAGAAAUGAAAUAAAUAAAUAAAAUUCCCAAUCUGUAAAAAC